UUGGGUCUUCCCAAUCCUAGAGGAUAUGAAAACGGAUGGAGGAUUUGACUAAUUUUGAGUGAUGUCGAAAGUCUGAUUAUUCAAUUCGCUUAUUUGAAAAUCCAACACCCUCUCUUCCACUUUCCACUACCCGGAGAAAGCAACCAACUCACCAUCCCAUCUCCCCAUCCUCCACACCAUUAUUUCCCUUCCCCAUAUGCAAUUUCCCAAAACCCACAUCAGAUAUAUUCUUA
Molecule: long non-coding RNA, 233 nt
Filed under: Prunus persica (peach)
Lineage: Eukaryota; Viridiplantae; Streptophyta; Magnoliopsida; Rosales; Rosaceae
Description: long non-coding RNA (PPER_LNC007107)
Source: RNAcentral